This 462-nucleotide ribosomal RNA is filed under the name uncultured bacterium. RNAcentral describes it as "partial 16S ribosomal RNA". It matches the Rfam family "Bacterial small subunit ribosomal RNA", at positions 28 to 507 of the family's 1533-position model. The record is from RNAcentral.
GACGAACGCUGGCGGCGUGCUUAACACAUGCAAGUCGAACGGAAAGGCCCUUCGGGGUACUCGAGUGGCGAACGGGAGCGUAACGCGUGGGUGAUCUGCCCUGCACUUUGGGAUAAGCCUGGGAUAAUGGGACUAAUACCGAAUAGGACCACGAGCUUCUUGGUGAGUGGUGGGAAGCUUUGGCGGUGUGGGAUGGGCCCGCGGCCUAUCAGCUUGUUGGUGGGGUAAUGGCCUACCAAGGCGACGACGGGUAGCCGGCCUGAGAGGGUGACCGGCCACACUGGGACUGAGAUACGGCCCAGACUCCUACGGGAGGCAGCAGUGGGGAAUAUUGCACAAUGGGCGCAAGCCUGAUGCAGCGACGCCGCGUGAGGGAUGACGGCCUUCGGGUUGUAAACCUCUUUCACCAGGGACGAAGCGUAAGUGACGGUACCUGGAGAAGAAGCACCGGCCAACUACGUG